CCAUGCUAGGCGGGGAGCUGGCGGUUCCCUGUACUCGAAAACCGCCAUAUGCGAGGCCGAAUGCCUCCCGAGGCACACUGAUUCGGAAAUCGGCAGAGUGAAAAGUGUUGAAGGCCGAGUCUUACGCAACGGAACCCCGUGAAUCUGGUCAGGUCCGGAAGGAAGCAGCCAUAAGCGGGUUAACCGUGUGCCGUGAGGGUGCUCGGACGGAGCUGGAAGCUCUGUUAGACCCGGGUCAGUGUUUCGAAGGAGGAUGCAUGG
This 261-nucleotide signal recognition particle RNA is filed under the name Kosmotogaceae bacterium. RNAcentral's name for it is "signal recognition particle sRNA large type". It matches the Rfam family "Bacterial large signal recognition particle RNA". From Rfam's summary of the family: The signal recognition particle (SRP) is a universally conserved ribonucleoprotein involved in the co-translational targeting of proteins to membranes. Lineage: Bacteria; Thermotogati; Thermotogota; Thermotogae; Kosmotogales; Kosmotogaceae. The record is from RNAcentral.